AAUUCGUGGAUUUACCACAACCUUGGUUGUGACCCCAUAGAUAAAAAUGCAAAAUUUCUAUCUUCGAGACCAUUGAAAAAGGGCAUUGAACGAGAAAGAAAUCGUCCACAGAUAAUCAAACUAUCGUAUGCCCUGGAAGUAAUAUGAGGUGCUCGGAAAUGGUUGAAGUAAUUGAAUAGGAGGAUCACUAUGACUAUAGCCAUUGGUAGAGUUACUAAAGAAGAAAAUGAUCUAUUUGAUAUUAUGGACGACUGGUUACGAAGGGACCGUUUCGUUUUUGUAGGAUGGUCCGGCCUAUUGCUCUUUCCUUGUGCUUAUUUCGCUUUAGGGGGUUGGUUUACAGGGACUACUUUUGUAACUUCUUGGUAUACCCAUGGAUUGGCUAGUUCCUAUUUGGAAGGUUGCAAUUUCUUAACCGCGGCGGUUUCCACUCCUGCCAAUAGUUUAGCACACUCUUUGUUGCUACUAUGGGGCCCGGAAGCACAGGGGGAUUUUACUCGUUGGUGUCAAUUAGGUGGUCUGUGGACUUUUGUCGCUCUCCAUGGGGCUUUUGCACUAAUAGGUUUCAUGUUACGUCAAUUUGAACUUGCUCGGUCUGUUCAAUUGCGGCCUUAUAAUGCAAUUUCAUUCUCUGGUCCAAUCGCAGUUUUUGUUUCCGUAUUCCUUAUUUAUCCACUGGGACAAUCUGGUUGGUUCUUUGCGCCGAGUUUUGGCGUAGCAGCUAUAUUUCGAUUUAUCCUUUUCUUCCAAGGAUUUCAUAAUUGGACGUUGAACCCAUUUCAUAUGAUGGGAGUUGCCGGAGUAUUAGGCGCAGCUCUGCUAUGCGCUAUCCAUGGGGCUACCGUAGAAAACACUCUAUUCGAAGAUGGUGAUGGUGCAAAUACCUUCCGCGCUUUUAACCCAACUCAAGCUGAAGAAACUUAUUCAAUGGUCACUGCUAACCGCUUUUGGUCCCAAAUCUUUGGUGUUGCUUUUUCCAAUAAACGUUGGUUACAUUUCUUUAUGCUAUUUGUACCCGUCACCGGUUUAUGGAUGAGUGCUAUUGGCGUAGUUGGCCUGGCUCUGAACCUACGUGCCUAUGACUUCGUUUCCCAGGAAAUCCGUGCAGCGGAAGAUCCUGAAUUUGAGACUUUCUACACCAAAAAUAUUCUUUUAAACGAGGGUAUUCGUGCGUGGAUGGCAGCUCAGGAUCAGCCUCAUGAAAAUCUUAUAUUCCCUGAGGAGGUUCUACCACGUGGAAACGCUCUUUAAUGGAACUUUCGUUUUAGCUGGUCGUGACCAAGAAACCACCGGCUUUGCUUGGUGGGCUGGGAAUGCCAGACUUAUCAAUUUGUCCGGUAAACUACUUGGAGCUCAUGUAGCCCAUGCCGGAUUAAUCGUAUUCUGGGCCGGAGCAAUGAACCUAUUUGAAGUGGCCCAUUUCGUACCAGAAAAGCCCAUGUAUGAACAAGGGUUAAUUUUACUUCCGCACUUAGCUACUCUAGGUUGGGGAGUAGGGCCAGGGGGAGAAGUUCUAGAUACUUUUCCUUACUUUGUAUCUGGAGUACUUCACAUAAUUUCCUCCGCAGUCUUAGGCUUCGGUGGCAUUUAUCACGCGCUUCUGGGACCCGAGACUCUUGAAGAAUCUUUUCCAUUCUUUGGUUAUGUAUGGAAAGAUAGAAAUAAAAUGACUACAAUUUUGGGUAUUCACUUAAUUUUGUUAGGUCUAGGUGCUUUUCUUCUAGUACUCAAGGCUCUUUAUUUUGGCGGCGUAUAUGAUACCUGGGCCCCCGGGGGGGGGGAUGUAAGAAAAAUUACCAAUUUGACCCUUAGUCCCGGUGUUAUAUUUGGUUAUUUACUAAAAUCCCCUUUUGGGGGAGAAGGAUGGAUUGUUAGUGUGGAUGAUUUAGAAGAUAUAAUUGGGGGACAUGUAUGGUUGGGUUCCAUUUGUGUACUUGGAGGAAUUUGGCAUAUCUUAACCAAACCCUUUGCAUGGGCUCGCCGUGCCUUUGUAUGGUCUGGCGAAGCUUACUUGUCUUAUAGUUUAGCUGCUUUAUCCGUUUUUGGUUUUAUCGCUUGUUGUUUUGUCUGGUUCAAUAAUACGGCUUAUCCAAGUGAGUUUUACGGACCCACUGGGCCAGAAGCUUCUCAAGCUCAAGCAUUUACUUUUCUAGUUAGAGACCAGCGUCUUGGAGCUAAUGUAGGGUCUGCCCAAGGACCGACGGGUUUAGGUAAAUAUCUAAUGCGUUCCCCAACGGGAGAGGUUAUUUUUGGAGGGGAAACUAUGCGUUUUUGGGACCUUCGUGCUCCGUGGUUAGAACCUCUAAGGGGCCCCAACGGUUUGGACUUGAGUAGGUUGAAAAAAGACAUCCAACCUUGGCAAGAACGACGUUCGGC
RNAcentral lists this long non-coding RNA (2376 nucleotides) under Setaria italica (foxtail millet). Its description in RNAcentral is "long non-coding RNA (SITA_LNC000001)". The record is from RNAcentral. Lineage: Eukaryota; Viridiplantae; Streptophyta; Magnoliopsida; Poales; Poaceae.